Molecule: ribosomal RNA, 855 nt
Filed under: Herbaspirillum sp. AKB-2008-JO59
Lineage: Bacteria; Pseudomonadati; Pseudomonadota; Betaproteobacteria; Burkholderiales; Oxalobacteraceae
Description: bacterial SSU rRNA
Rfam family: Bacterial small subunit ribosomal RNA
Source: RNAcentral
CUCAGAUUGAACGCUGGCGGCAUGCCUUACACAUGCAUGUCGAACGGCCAGCACGGGAGCUUGCUCCUGGUGGCGAGUGGCGAACGGGUGAGUAAUAUAUCGGAACGUACCCUAGAGUGGGGGAUAACGCAGCGAAAGUUGCGCUAAUACCGCAUACGAUCUACGGAUGAAAGUGGGGGAUCGCAAGACCUCAUGCUCAUGGAGCGGCCGAUAUCUGAUUAGCUAGUUGGUAGGGUAAAAGCCUACCAAGGCUUCGAUCAGUAGCUGGUCUGAGAGGACGACCAGCCACACUGGAACUGAGACACGGUCCAGACUCCUACGGGAGGCAGCAGUGGGGAAUUUUGGACAAUGGGCGCAAGCCUGAUCCAGCAAUGCCGCGUGAGUGAAGAAGGCCUUCGGGUUGUAAAGCUCUUUUGUCAGGGAAGAAACGGUGGACUCUAAUACAGAUCACUAAUGACGGUACCUGAAGAAUAAGCACCGGCUAACUACGUGCCAGCAGCCGCGGUAAUACGUAGGGUGCAAGCGUUAAUCGGAAUUACUGGGCGUAAAGCGUGCGCAGGCGGUUGUGCAAGACAGAUGUGAAAUCCCCGGGCUCAACCUGGGAAUUGCAUUUGUGACUGCACGGCUAGAGUGUGUCAGAGGGGGGUAGAAUUCCACGUGUAGCAGUGAAAUGCGUAGAGAUGUGGAGGAAUACCGAUGGCGAAGGCAGCCCCCUGGGAUAACACUGACGCUCAUGCACGAAAGCGUGGGGAGCAAACAGGAUUAGAUACCCUGGUAGUCCACGCCCUAAACGAUGUCUACUAGUUGUUGGGUCUUAAUUGACUUAGUAACGCAGCUAACGCGUGAAGUAGACCG